This 540-nucleotide ribosomal RNA is filed under the name uncultured Geobacter sp. RNAcentral's name for it is "bacterial SSU rRNA". It matches the Rfam family "Bacterial small subunit ribosomal RNA", at positions 8 to 526 of the family's 1533-position model. Lineage: Bacteria; Pseudomonadati; Thermodesulfobacteriota; Desulfuromonadia; Geobacterales; Geobacteraceae. The record is from RNAcentral. RNAcentral also lists the same sequence under 1 other name.
AGAGUUUGAUCCUGGCUCAGAACGAACGCUGGCGGCGUGCUUAACACAUGCAAGUCGAACGUGAUCCRGAGCUUGCUCYGGUGAAAGUGGCGCACGGGUGAGUAACGCGUGGAUAACCUGCCCUGGUAUCUGGGAUAACAUCUCGAAAGGGGUGCUAAUACCGGAUAAGCCYACGGRYUCYUMGGAGUCUGYGGGAAAAGGAGGCCUCUAUUUAYAAGCUUCCGUAUCAKGAUGGGUCCGCGUACCAUUAGCUAGUUGGUGGGGUAAUGGCCUACCAAGGCGACGAUGGUUAGCUGGUCUGAGAGGAUGAUCAGCCACACUGGAACUGAGACACGGUCCAGACUCCUACGGGAGGCAGCAGUGGGGAAUUUUGCGCAAUGGGGGAAACCCUGACGCAGCAACGCCGCGUGAGUGAUGAAGGCUUUCGGGUCGUAAAGCUCUGUCAGAGGGGAAGAAAUGAAACGUGCUAAUAUCACGUUUUCUUGACGGUACCCUCAAAGGAAGCACCGGCUAACUCCGUGCCAGCAGCCGCGGUAAUAC